GGGUUGUGAGGUUAAGCGACUAAGCGUACACGGUGGAUGCCCUGGCAGUCAGAGGCGAUGAAGGGCGUGCUAAUCUGCGAUAAGCGCCGGUAAGGUGAUAUGAACCGUUAUAACCGGCGAUACCCGAAUGGGGAAACCCAGUGUGAUUCGUCACACUAUCAUUAACUGAAUCCAUAGGUUAAUGAGGCGAACCGGGGGAACUGAAACAUCUAAGUACCCCGAGGAAAAGAAAUCAACCGAGAUUCCCCCAGUAGCGGCGAGCGAACGGGGAGGAGCCCAGAGCCUGAAUCAGCAUGUGUGUUAGUGGAAGCGUCUGGAAAGGCGCGCGAUACAGGGUGACAGCCCCGUACACAAAAGCGUAUGUGCUGUGAGCUCGAUGAGUAGGGCGGGACACGUGGUAUCCUGUCUGAAUAUGGGGGGACCAUCCUCCAAGGCUAAAUACUCCUGACUGACCGAUAGUGAACCAGUACCGUGAGGGAAAGGCGAAAAGAACCCCGGCGAGGGGAGUGAAAAAGAACCUGAAACCGUGUACGUACAAGCAGUGGGAGCACCCUUUGGGGUGUGACUGCGUACCUUUUGUAUAAUGGGUCAGCGACUUAUAUUCUGUAGCAAGGUUAACCGAAUAGGGGAGCCGGAGGGAAACCGAGUCUUAAUUGGGCGUUAAGUUGCAGGGUAUAGACCCGAAACCCGGUGAUCUAGCCAUGGGCAGGUUGAAGGUUGGGUAACACUAACUGGAGGACCGAACCGACUAAUGUUGAAAAAUUAGCGGAUGACCUGUGGGUGGGGGUGAAAGGCCAAUCAAACCGGGAGAUAGCUGGUUCUCCCCGAAAGCUAUUUAGGUAGCGCCUCGUGAAUUCAUCUCCGGGGGUAGAGCACUGUUUCGGCUAGGGGGUCAUCCCGACUUACCAACCCGAUGCAAACUGCGAAUACCGGAGAAUGUUAUCACGGGAGACACACGGCGGGUGCUAACGUCCGUCGUGAAGAGGGAAACAACCCAGACCGCCAGCUAAGGUCCCAAAGUCAUGGUUAAGUGGGAAACGAUGUGGGAAGGCCCAGACAGCCAGGAUGUUGGCUUAGAAGCAGCCAUCAUUUAAAGAAAGCGUAAUAGCUCACUGGUCGAGUCGGCCUGCGCGGAAGAUGUAACGGGGCUAAACCAUGCACCGAAGCUGCGGCAGCGACACUCAGGUGUUGUUGGGUAGGGGAGCGUUCUGUAAGCCUGUGAAGGUGGCCUGUGAGGGUUGCUGGAGGUAUCAGAAGUGCGAAUGCUGACAUAAGUAACGAUAAAGCGGGUGAAAAGCCCGCUCGCCGGAAGACCAAGGGUUCCUGUCCAACGUUAAUCGGGGCAGGGUGAGUCGACCCCUAAGGCGAGGCCGAAAGGCGUAGUCGAUGGGAAACGGGUUAAUAUUCCCGUACUUGGUGUUACUGCGAAGGGGGGACGGAGAAGGCUAUGUUGGCCGGGCGACGGUUGUCCCGGUUUAAGCGUGUAGGUGUGUGUUCCAGGUAAAUCCGGUUCACUUUAACACUGAGGCGUGAUGACGAGGCACUACGGUGCUGAAGCAACAAAUGCCCUGCUUCCAGGAAAAGCCUCUAAGCAUCAGGUAACAUCAAAUCGUACCCCAAACCGACACAGGUGGUCAGGUAGAGAAUACCAAGGCGCUUGAGAGAACUCGGGUGAAGGAACUAGGCAAAAUGGUGCCGUAACUUCGGGAG
This 1710-nucleotide ribosomal RNA is filed under the name Salmonella enterica. Its description in RNAcentral is "partial 23S ribosomal RNA". It matches the Rfam family "Bacterial large subunit ribosomal RNA", at positions 1 to 1742 of the family's 2925-position model. Lineage: Bacteria; Pseudomonadati; Pseudomonadota; Gammaproteobacteria; Enterobacterales; Enterobacteriaceae. The record is from RNAcentral.